GGUUCCAUAGCUUCGUGGUUCAGCGUUCGCUUCUCAAGCGAGUGGUCGGUGGUUCGAUUCCACCUGGUGCCG
RNAcentral lists this transfer RNA (72 nucleotides) under Plasmopara halstedii. It matches the Rfam family "tRNA". From Rfam's summary of the family: Transfer RNA (tRNA) molecules are approximately 80 nucleotides in length. Their secondary structure includes four short double-helical elements and three loops (D, anti-codon, and T loops). Lineage: Eukaryota; Oomycota; Peronosporomycetes; Peronosporales; Peronosporaceae. The record is from Rfam by way of RNAcentral.